GCGCGGGGCCGUCGGGCCUGGUGGCGUCCGGCCGGCUGGUGUCCGGUCCGGCGGUGUCCGCCGCCGUUUCGGCGCGGUCCGGGCCCGGGUCCGCGGUC
Molecule: transfer RNA, 98 nt
Filed under: Streptomyces abikoensis
Lineage: Bacteria; Bacillati; Actinomycetota; Actinomycetes; Kitasatosporales; Streptomycetaceae
Description: tRNA-Thr
Source: RNAcentral